Long non-coding RNA from Peromyscus maniculatus bairdii (prairie deer mouse), 900 nucleotides. RefSeq lists it as uncharacterized. The record is from RefSeq and is a predicted model, not a curated record. Lineage: Eukaryota; Metazoa; Chordata; Mammalia; Rodentia; Cricetidae.
CUGGCCCCCGCCCCGCGGCCCGCGAACGUCGUCCUCCCGGGGACGCGGUGCAGAGCCCGCUGCAAACGGCGUGGCCGCGGCACAAUACCGCGGCGCGGCGCACACAAUCACCGCCCCCCAGGACCGGCGGCGCGCACGGCCAGGAGUGGGGUGCGCCCGGCAGCUCCGGGCACUUGAAGCUAGGCGCACCUCUCGGGCGCCCCGCAGGCCCGGGAGCGCAACCUCCGCCCCUCCCCGCUCUCGGGCACACUCGCCCGCCCCCAGCCCCAGCCCACUCCACCCAGGGCUAGCAGCUCGCCAGGCGCAGGAAGCUCCCCUUUGUACCGCCCCUGCACCCCUCCUCUCUGCCCCGCCGCCAGCUCCACUGUCCAGGCUGCGCUCACCUGUUCGACCCAAACAUUCCGGCGACCCGGAGCGCCCGCCGCCCGCUUGCUCCCGGCUCCCUCUGAGGGCCCCCGCCCCACUCCGCGGGUCAUUGUGCUCCAGCAGACCACACGGUGCCGGCUCCUUACGGCGCGCUGGCUACAGUUGUAAAGUCACAGCAUAAUAUCAAGAAUGCUGCCCAGACCUGGGCGCGCACAGUCCGCAGGGACUCCGCAGGAAAGGGAAGACGCAGGCGGACCCAAGGUGAGGUCCUCCUCGGGGCAAACAGACCUUCUGCCUCGCCUUCAGGAGAAGAUAUAAUGGGGCGGCGCGAGGUGGCCAGAGGGGUACCCUGAAUCUCCGGGCAACCUCAGACUCGCCUGUGAUCUAACAAGCUAGUAUCCUUGCGGCAGAAUUAAAACAUGGACAGAGAAAAAUGGGCUAGGGGCAAAGUCCGCCCCCCAAAUCCCCAACACCAAGUCCAAAGCCCGGGUUAGAACACAUGGACCCCGAAUAAAGCUUGUGCUUUAACAAGGA